RNAcentral lists this ribosomal RNA (397 nucleotides) under uncultured bacterium. RNAcentral describes it as "partial 16S ribosomal RNA". It matches the Rfam family "Bacterial small subunit ribosomal RNA", at positions 523 to 918 of the family's 1533-position model. The record is from RNAcentral.
AUACGUAGGGGGCGAGCGUUGUCCGGAAUGAUUGGGCGUAAAGGGCGCGUAGGCGGCCCGGUAAGUCUGGAGUGAAAGUCCUGUUUUUAAGAUGGGAAUUGCUUUGGAUACUGUCGGGCUUGAGUGCAGGAGAGGUAAGUGGAAUUCCCAGUGUAGCGGUGAAAUGCGUAGAGAUUGGGAGGAACACCAGUGGCGAAGGCGACUUACUGGGUCGUAACGGACGCUGAGGCGCGAAAGCGGGGGGAGCGAACAGGAUUAGAUACCCUGGUAGUCCACGCGGUAAACGAUGAAUGCUAGGUGUUGCGGGUAUCGACCCCUGCAGUGCCGGAGUCAACACAAUAAGCAUUCCGCCUGGGGAGUACGGCCACAAGGUUGAAACUCAAAUGAAUUGACGGGG